Molecule: ribosomal RNA, 446 nt
Filed under: uncultured bacterium
Lineage: Bacteria
Description: partial 16S ribosomal RNA
Rfam family: Bacterial small subunit ribosomal RNA
Source: RNAcentral
GUGAGGAAUAUUGCGCAAUGGACGAAAGUCUGACGCAGCCAUGCCGCGUGAAGGAUUGACGGCCCUAUGGGUUGUAAACUUCUUUUGUAUAGGAAUAAACCCUCGUUCGUGAACGAGGCUGAAGGUACUAUAAGAAUAAGCACCGGCUAACUCCGUGCCAGCAGCCGCGGUAAUACGGAGGGUGCAAGCGUUAUCCGGAUUUAUUGGGUUUAAAGGGUCCGUAGGCGGAUCGUUAAGUCAGUGGUGAAAUCCUACCGCUCAACGGUAGAACUGCCAUUGAUACUGGCGAUCUUGAGUAUGUAUGAAGUUGGCGGAAUGUGUGGUGUAGCGGUGAAAUGCUUAGAUAUCACACAGAACACCGAGUGCGAAGGCAGCUGACUAAUACACAACUGACGCUGAGGGACGAAAGUGUGGGGAUCAAACAGGAUUAGAUACCCGAGUAGUCC